GAAAUGCGAUACGUAAUGCGAAUUGCAGAAUUCAGUGAAUCAUCAAAUCUUUGAACGCAAAUGGCACUGUCGGGAUAGGCCUGGCAGUACGUUUCUUUCAGCGUCGUUUCAACAACACUCAGGCUGCGCCUGGACAAUGAGUGUCACAAUCUUCGGAGUGUGUCACUUUAAAUUUCGCGGAACGGCAUGUGCUUUAGCACACUGCACUUAUUGUACUCGACAGUGACGUGGGUAAUUUCACUCUUGUGAAUCUUUACGUGACUGUUUGAAGAACGGUGUAUGUGCGGCUUGGCGCAAGAGUCUAACCGUCCUUGAAGGGUUCGCUCUUCAACUUAUUUUCGACUCAGACCUGAAAUGAAGCGAGAUUACCCGCCGAACUUAA
RNAcentral lists this unclassified non-coding RNA (382 nucleotides) under uncultured fungus. RNAcentral's name for it is "sequence contains ITS1". The stretch from base 1 to 106 matches the Rfam family "5.8S ribosomal RNA", at positions 50 to 154 of the family's 154-position model. Lineage: Eukaryota; Fungi. The record is from RNAcentral.